UACAGAGGUGCCAAGCGUUAGGCGGAAUCACUGGGCUUAAAGCGCGUGUAGGCGGGUCGUUAAGUGUCUUGUGAAAUCCCACGGCUCAACCGUGGAACUGCUGGGCAUACUGACGAUCUUGAGGCACUCAGGGGCCGUCGGAACAAAUGGUGGAGCGGUGAAAUGCGUAGAUAUAGGAAGGAAUACCAGUGGCGAAGGCGGCCUCCUGGAUCGAUACUGACGCUGAGGCGCGAAAGCGUGGGGAGCAAACAGG
RNAcentral lists this ribosomal RNA (253 nucleotides) under uncultured bacterium. RNAcentral's name for it is "partial 16S ribosomal RNA". It matches the Rfam family "Bacterial small subunit ribosomal RNA", at positions 524 to 776 of the family's 1533-position model. The record is from RNAcentral.